GCAGUGGCAGUACAGUGGUAGAAUUCUCACCUUCCGUGCAAGAGAGCCAGGUUCAAUUCCUGGCCAAUGCA
This 71-nucleotide transfer RNA is filed under the name Loxodonta africana (African savanna elephant). It matches the Rfam family "tRNA". From Rfam's summary of the family: Transfer RNA (tRNA) molecules are approximately 80 nucleotides in length. Their secondary structure includes four short double-helical elements and three loops (D, anti-codon, and T loops). Lineage: Eukaryota; Metazoa; Chordata; Mammalia; Proboscidea; Elephantidae. The record is from Rfam by way of RNAcentral.